Molecule: ribosomal RNA, 273 nt
Filed under: uncultured bacterium
Lineage: Bacteria
Description: partial 16S ribosomal RNA
Rfam family: Bacterial small subunit ribosomal RNA
Source: RNAcentral
UACGUAGGGUGCGAGCGUUGUCCGGAAUUACUGGGCGUAAAGAGCUCGUAGGUGGGUUUUGUCGCGUUUGUCCGUGAAAAACUCACAGCUUAACUGUGGGCGUGCGGGGCGAUACGGGGCAGACUGGAGUACUGCAGGGGGAGACUGGAAAUUCCUGGUGGUAGCGGUGGGAAAUGCGCAGAUAUCAGGAGGGAACACCGGUGGCGAAGGCGGUCUCCUGGGCAAGGUGAACUGACGCUGGAGGGAGCGAAAGCCGUGGGAGCGAAACAGGGA